Molecule: ribosomal RNA, 493 nt
Filed under: uncultured bacterium
Lineage: Bacteria
Description: bacterial SSU rRNA
Rfam family: Bacterial small subunit ribosomal RNA
Source: RNAcentral
AGAGUUUGAUCAUGGCUCAGAAUGAACGUUGCGGCGUGGAUUAGGCAUGCAAGUCGUACGCAUAGCUUCGGCUAUGAGUGGCGCAAGGGUGAGUAAUGCGAAGGUAACCAACCCUGGUGUUGGGCAUAGCCGCGGGAAACUGCGGGUAAUUCCCAGCGACGUCACGAGAUGGCAUCAUCUUGUGACCAAAGGUGUGAUUCCGCUCUAGGACGGGCCUUCGUGGUAUUAGGUAGUUGGUGAGGUAACGGCUCACCAAGCCGACGAUGCCUACCGGGUGUGAGAGCAUGACCCGGCACACUGGAACUGAGACACUGUCCAGACACCUACGGGUGGCUGCAGUCGAGAAUCUUCGGCAAUGGCGAAAGCCUGACCGAGCGACGCCGCGUGAGGGAUUGAAGGCCUUCGGGUUGUAAACCUCUUUCGUAGAGGAGGAGGGGGCCGUGAAGAACGGUCUUUGACCUAUUCUAGGAAGAAGCUUGGGCUAAGUUCGUGC